UGCUGGCGACGCGGGUUAGGGGCGGCGGGAGGCUCCGUGGCCUGCCCCGGGUUGAAGUUGGGAGGGCGCCCUUCAUUCUGAACCCAUUUAGGCAGCACGGGCAGCCCUCCUCGCCGUGGGCGGCAUCAGAGUCCCCCCUGCCCAGUCUUGGGGUUGCUCCCGGAUGUUGUCUGGGAGGCUUGCUCAUGGUGACAUCCUCAUCUCCCCGUGCACGUUACUGCAUUCAGAGCUUGGGUCACCUGGACACUGAACUCAGAUGAAUUUUCUCUCAGAUCCCGGGAGAAGGAGGACAGUUCUCAGGAAGGUUUUCCUGGGCCGAUCACGGAAAGGAUGAGAAGGGAGAGGUCCUGGUCGGGGACACAAUUACGGUGGCAGUGUAACACCAGGAAACUGUAUUGCGUGAAGUCCCUCUCACUCCCUCUACCUCCCUGUUUUAGGUGGACUCCGCAAAGACCAGGAUACCAGAAUGCAGUGGAGUGACCAAAGGUAGUGGGACCUUGGGAAUGCGAGUCUGGAGCCAGGCGGCUGGGGUUUGCAUCCUGGUUCUGCCCCUACUUAGCUGGCUGACAUGGCACAAGCCACUUACCCUCUCUGAGCCUUAUUGUCUUCAGUGGCAAAAGGAUCUGUCAACAGGCCCCAUUGUCUGGGGUUCUUACUGCUGAGAUUAAGGGAAGCUCGUCCAUAGAAGCACUUAGCAUUGUGCCUGGCACAUAGUGUAUGGUGGAUAAAUGGGACUUAGGACUAAAACUCGUGCCUUGGUGUGAUUUUACAGUGAUGUUUUGUUCUGGGGUGCAUCACAAGAGACAAGGUUCUUGGCUGGGCAUGGUGGCUCAAGCCAAUAAUCCCAGCACUUUGAGAGGCCGAAUGGGGAGGAUCGCUUGAGCCCAGGAGUUUAAGACCAGCUGGGCAACAUGGUGAAGCCUCAUAUCUACCAAAAAAAAAAAAAAAAAAAAAAAAAAAAAAGCCAGGUAUGGUGGUGUGUGCCUGUAGUCCCAAGUACUUGGGAGGCUGAGGUGGGAGGAUUGCUAGAGCCUGGAAGGUCGGGCUGCAGUGAGCUGUGAUCAUGCCACUGCACUCCAGCCUGGGUGAUAAAGUGAGACUCUGUUUCACAGAAAAGAGAGAGAGAGAGACAGACAAACCCACAAGAGUCUUAAACCAGAAUCUUCAUGUUAAAAUGCCUUCUGGAGGCUAAAAGGAUGAUAUGUUGAUAAUGAAAUAUUUAAAAGGCAGAAACCCUACUGAAUUGUUUGGUCCACAGAGGGAAAUGGGAAUCGCAUGACCUGAAGGAUGAUGGAGGAACUGAACAGAAACCAUCCUUGUUUCCUGAAUCUGAACAUGGCACCCUCUUUUCACAGUGUCUGUAUCAGCUCAGUCCGGCGACCCCUCGAAAAGAGGGAAUCUUGGUUUUCAAACUUAAAAUUUGGCCCAAAGCCCACUGCUGCCCACAAUGCCUGCCAGACACAUUCCUCUUCCUUUUUAGUUUCUAUGGGAAUACUCUCUUUGAAGAACCCAUGAAGCAGUGUCAGGCUGGUGUGAGGAUCAGCAGUGAUUUCUUUGAGGAGGAGAGCCCGUUUCUUCACUCACAGGCCAUGUCUGAGUGGAUCAAGAAGAACAGAGUGCCCUUUUAUGAGAUUUUCUCUGCGUAGACCACUAGCUUGGUAAAAAUGUCAAAACCAUCCUCGUUCUUUAAUAGCAGAUUAUUUUGGACUUUUCUCUGUAAGAAGCAGCAUGGGCAUUCAGAUGCUUUUAAGGAUAAAAUGUUCUUUCUCAUCACCAGGCCUGGUGCUCUGGAUGGCUGAGAUUUUAAUGUGACUUGAUGUCCCUUGGAGUGGCUCCCAGGCUGUGCUCUUGUGGUUGGGUGGCAAGUGGUUGCUUUAUUCAGUGCUGGCUAGAGGAGGUUUUAGCAGAUAAAUCGGGACCCCAGGAGCCCCUGAGUGCCAAGUUCUGCUGCAGGGCAUGUGUUUAUGGUGGGGAGGUGAGGCUGUGGAGGGUGGGGGGCAUUGAUUUCCUGCCAAUAUCAGAAGUUUCACAGGCUUCUUGUGUAUCCAGAAACACCCACCCCAUUGAGAAGACCUAGAAAACUUGGCCCUCCCCUAGCCUUUAUUGACCACUUGUGAAUGAUCCCAGGGUGUGCCUGACCCACAGCUCCUCCUGGAGGGAGAGAAAAGUCUCUCCUAGGUAUUUGGUUAUCAACCUCAACCACUUGCUGAGCCUUCCCCAAGACCAGGCAUCUUGGCAGAGAUUUCUGGGUUUUCAGGCAGAACUGAGCAUUCGAGUGUAAUAACUCACUGGAGUCCCUGAAAUCCCUGAUGGACGCACCAGGUAAAAGCAUCCAGGGUUGAAACCAGAUCAGGAAGGUUAUUGUCAGCCUGGGGCUCCUGUAGAGGUGCAUCCACGUUACAGGGAUUUUCCUUCUUGCUGAGGAGAAACCUGGGUUUCCCAGCUUUGGCACAGUCACAAUACUUGGGGUGAGGCCAUUCGUGGUGGUGGGGGGGCCGUCCUGUGUAUUGUAGGAUGGUUAGCAGCAUCUGUGGUCUCCAUCCUCUAGGUGCCAUUCUACCCUCCCAGCUAUGGCUACCCCAGAUGUCUCCAGAUGGUUUCAAAUGCUGUGGGGCAAGGGAGUGGUAUGUGAGCAAAACCACCCCAGUUGAGAGCCAUUGGUCUACACUUGUGGAAAUGUUUUCAGGGUGAGAGUGUCAAGCUUGGGUUCCUGCUCUACCCUUUAUGAGUAAUGCGGUCUUGGAAAAUUAAUAGUACUCCAGGGGCCUCAGUUUUCUCAUCUAUAAAAUGGAGAUAAAUGAGAUACACUUUGAUAGGAAGUUUAUAUGGGAUUUACCGGGAUAAUAAGACAGUACAUGGAAAAUACUGGGCAUAGCAUUUAUUUAUUUUAAUUUUUUUUAAGACAGAGUCUUACUCUGUUGCCCAGGCUGGAGUGCAGUGGCAUGAUCUCCGCUCACUGCAACCUCCACCUCCCGGGCUCAAAUGAUUCUCCAGCCUCAGGCUCCCGAGUAACUGGGACUACAGGCGUGCGCCAUCAUGCCCAUCUAGUUUUCAAUUUUUAGGAGAGACGGGACUUCACCAUGUUGGGCAGGAUAGUCCGAUCUCUUGACCUCGUGAUCUGCCCGCCUCGGCCUUCCCAAGUGCUGGGAUUACAGGCGUGAGCCACCAUGCCUGGUCAAACAUAAACUUACUUUCUUACCUCUUCUGCUGAACUCCAUUUGCUUCUUUUCCCAAAUGUCUUUAUCCAGAAGAGCUUUUAGCAACAAAGUUACCCAAUGCCCUUCCCUAGUCUCUCUUUGCAACUGGCUCUCAGCAGGGGGUGGGAGGAAAUCUUUGACAGAACCAAUUUACGUGACAGUUUGGAGGACUCUGGCUAGCCCCAGAAGGUGUUUGAAUUUUUAAAUUGGUUACUAGUGUCAGAAUGUUUCAUGAGUAAGAGCCCAGCCUCUAUGUUGGAUGCCCUGAAUUUAAAUCAAAACAUGGCCAUUUUGUAUAUAACCAGAGGAUGGAUUUGGGGACCCAAUGGAUCUACCAUGACAUGAACUUGCACCAACAUUCACCCGACCUCCAAAAUGCCUAUUCUGACUGGUAGGCCCUAGUCUCAGCCUAGUGCCAGUUCAGAGCCUGUGUCCAGUGAUCCUGCACAGGUCUCAUUAGUUCCUUUUCUCCUCUUCAGUCAUCCUGGUAAAAGGCUGUGUAUUCCCUUGGGGGCAGGCUGGGAGACAGAUUGACAGUAUAAAUGUUUGGCAGUGGAGCAGAGUCCAUUCUGGAGGGAACCUGGCUUCCCAUUCAGACAAGGGACUCCGGGUCUGUGAACUGGCUUCUGUCUUGGAAUUGACGGGGGACUGUGACUCUGUUUUUAUGAUUGAGAUUAGACUUCUGCUCACCUGACCUAGAACUCUUCUGCAAACACAGACCCAGUAAAAAUGUGGCAGGCUUCUUAUCUAUUUCACUUCUAGGAAUGCCAUGAUCAGCUGACACCAGAGGUCUCUGCGAGUCAGGCUAUUCUGGUUGCAGCUUUGACUCUGCUGUCUUUUAUGGCAACUGCAUCCACCUUGCCUUUGGGGAUUGAGUGCUCUGAUCACUUGGCCCCAGCCCCUGUAGUGUGCCUAUGUCACUUACCCUCUUUAUACCUCAGUUUCCUCCUCCAUAAAAUGGGCAUCCUCAUUGCACCCACCCCCUGGGCUGCUGUGAAGUAUAGAUAGAUUAGCAUAUGCAAAGUAAUAGAAGAGGGUCUCAAAGCCCAUGUGUCGUUAUCAGAAUUAGUUUGUGACAGGGGAGAGCUGGAGGAGACAGGAAGGUGCUGAGCAGACCCACGUGCUCUCCUACCAGUGUUUCCUGAGCACCUAUUAUGUGCUGCCCACUGUGAGAGCUGUUAGGGUUGAAAUAGGGAGCACAGCAGGGUAGGGGCUGUCAUCAGGAGCUUAGUGGGGAGACAAUUGUGCAACAUGGUUCCAGAGCUUGGGGUGGGGAAGCUCAGGGAGCACAGGGGCCUAGGAUCCUGAACAGAAUCAUGGAAAGAACACAGCCUCCCCAGCCUCUCCUGCCUCCUCUUCCUCCCUGGCCUCCUCUGCUUCCCUGGCCUCUCCUGCCUUCCUGGCUUCCCCUUCCGCCCCGGCCUCCCCAGUCUUCCCUGUCUCUCCUGCUUUUGAGGUGGGCCAGGAGCUGCUGGUGCUCACUUAGCCUGUCUUGGACUCUGGGUGUAGCACUUCGAUGUACAGAAAAUACCCCUGGAUUCAGCUCAUCACACAGCCAAGGAAGGAGCUCCACACUGACACUAAGGGUUCAUCCUGGGCUCAUUCAUCAGGACAUGCCUCCAAAAUAUUUCUCCAUGUCUCCUCCCUUUGCCCACCUGCGUUGUAUCUGUGCCUCAGCCGCAGCUGGGGGCCUGCAAAGAUCCCCUAUCUCCUCUGCCCCUGCACGGCUGGGUCCCAGGCAAUCUGUCCGCCCACCACGCUCCAGCCCCACAGUCCUCUUUCUGCUUUUUUCCCAGCCUCUGUGCUUUUGCACACGCUGUUCCCUCUGCCUGAACACCCUCCACUGGGCUGAGAACAACUCUCUGAGGCCUCUCUCAGCUGUUGCUUCCUUUGGAACAGCCGCUGCUGCUGUCCCUCUCCCAGCUCCAAGACCUGCUGAGCCUCCUGUCUUUUUCAGUUCCCAUGCCCCCAGCACUUCUCCUUGGCCUCCUUUUGACCAAUUGACAAUGUCCAUUCUCAAUGCCUUCUCAGCCAGCGCUGAGCCCCACUGGGUGAAGGGAAUGCCUGUCAUGUUCACCACAAUAUCCCCUCCCCCAUCACCACGACUGGUCCACAGUGAUGCUCAGAAAAGAUCUGUUGAUAGGCCAUGCGAAGGUGCAUUCAUGUCAUCCUGCAGGCGGAAUUCUCCACGAGUUUUGAGCAGCCUCGGUUUUCCCACCACCUCCAAACCAUGGAAGACACAGGGUGCAGGCAGAGCCCCCGGAGCCAUGGCCAGCCCUUCCGGCAGAUCUGAAGCCACUGGCAAGCCCCGAGGCAUGGAUGGCGGAGGACGACGUCCCUCCCGAAGAGAAGAGGCUGCGGCUCUUGCUGGAGGGGGAAGCGCACAGCCCGAGGACUGCGAGGACGGGGAGGACACGCCGCGGCCAGGCAGGAAGGAGACCGGCCCCCAGACAGGUGGCGACGGCAGAGGAGCUGGCCACCACAGUCCUGUCUUUUCUGCCAGAAGCAAGUCAAGUGUUGUUACAAGAACAAGUGUGAAAAACAUUUGCCUGAUUAAGAUUUCUAGCACCAUGAAAGUUAUCCUUCUUAGAAAUUCCUAAGGCUCAAUGUUGUGUGGAAGAUUCUGAGAAAGAAAGUAGUUUCCGAUCUUUGGGAUUCCCCUGAGAUGGUCCAAUCUGCAAAAAGUUCAUUGCCAUUUCCAUCAACAACACUGAGAACAAGAGUUUUAUCCGGAUUGGAUCCUGGGAAUUCAGAAGCUUCAGCAGCUUGUAGAGGCUACUAGAAUUCCUCAACUUGUGGCUGCAUGAUCCAAUCUCUGCCUGUGUGAUCACCUUGCCUCCUCCUCUUCUGUCUGGGUCUCCUCCUCUGGAGAAAGAGUGUCAGGCCUCUGAGCCCAAGCUAAGCCAUCAUAUCCCCUGUGACCUUCAUGUACACAUCCAGAUGGCUGGUUCCUGCCUACCUGAUGACAUUAUCUUGUGAAAUUCCUUCUCCUUGCUCAUCUCCUUGCUCUCCUUGCUCAAAAGCCCCCCUACUGAGCACCUUGUGACCCCCACUCCUGCCUGCCAGAGAACAACCCCCCUUUUUCCUUUACCUACCCAAAUCUUAUAAAAUGGCCCCACUCCUAUCUCCCUUCACUGACUCUCUUUUUGGACUCAGCUCACCUGCACCCAGAUGAAAUAAACAGCUUUAUUGCUCACACAAAGCCUGUUUGGUGGUCUCUUCACACGGAUGCAUGUGAAAUUUGGUGCCGUGACUCAGAUCAGGGGACCUCCCUUGGGAGAUCAAUCCCCUCUCCUCCUGCUCUUUGCUCUAUGAGAAAGAUCCACCUACGACCUCAGGUCCUCAGACUGACCAGCCCAAGAAACAUCUCACCAAUUUCAGAUCUGGUAAGUGGCUUCUUUUUACUCUCUUCUCCAACCUCCCUCACUAUCCCUCAACCUCUUUCUCCUUUCAAUCUUGGCACCACACUUCAAUCUCUUCCUUCUCUUAAUUUCAAUUCCUUUCGUUUUCUGGUAGAAACAAAGGAGACACGUUUUAUCCAUGGACCCAAAACUCUGGCACUGCUCAAAGACUAGGGAAGGCAGCCUUCCCUUGGUGUUUAAUCAUUGCAGGGACGCCUCUCUGAUUAUUCACCCAGGUUUCAGAGGUGUCAGACCAUGCAGGGAUGCCUGCCUUGGUCCUUCACCCUUAACAGCAAGUCCUGCUUUUCUGGGGGAGAAGCAAGAACCCCUCAACCCCUUCUCCUUCACCCUUAGCAGCAAGUCCCACUUUUCUGGGGGAGGGGCAGGAACCCUGACCUCUUAUCUCUGCACCCCAAUCCCUUAUUUCCAUGCCCUGACCUCUUAUCUCUGUGCCCUGAUCCCUUAUUUGCAUGCCCUGCCUUCUUAUCUUUGUGCCCCGAUCCCUUAUUUCCACAACCUGACCUCUUAUCUCUGCACCCCAACCCUUUAUUUCUGUGCCCUGACCCCUUUCCUGCUUUUCUGGAAGGCAAGAACCCCCCACCCCUUCUCUCCAUGUCUCUACUCUCUCUUUUCUCUAGGCUUGCCUCCUUCACUAUGGGCAAGCUUCUGCCCUCCAUUCCCCUUUCUUCUCCCUUAGCCUGUGUUCUUCAAAACCUAAAACAUCUUCAACUCACACAUGACCUAAAACCUAAAUGCCUUAUUUUCUUCUACAAUGCCGCUUGACCCCAAUACCAAAUCAACAGUGGUUGCAAAUAGCCAGAAAAUGGCACUUUCAAUUUUUCCAUCUGACAAGAUCUAGAUAAUUCUUGCCAUAAGAUGGGCAAACGGUGUGAGGUGCCUGACAUCCAGGCAUUCUUUUACACAUCGGUCCCUCCCUAGUCUCUGUUCGCAGUGCAACUCGUCCCAAAGCUUCCUUCUUUCCCUCCCACCUGUCCCCUCAGUCCCAACCCCAAGUGUCGCUGAGUCUUUCUAAUCUUCCUUUUCUACAGACCCAUCUGACCUCUCGCCUCCUUGCCAGGCUGAGCUAGGUCCCAAUUCUUCCUCAGCCUCUGCUCCUCCACCCUAUAAUCAUUUUAUCACCUCCCCUUCUCACAUCAGGUCCGGCUUACAGUUUCAUUCCAUGACUAGCCCUCCCCCACCUGCCCAGCAAUUUAUUCUUAAAAAGGUGGCUGGAGCUGAAGGCAUAGUCAAGGUUAAUGCUCCUUUUUCUUUAUCCCAAAUCAGAGAGCGUUUAGGUUCUUUUUCAUCAAAUAUAAAAAUCCACCCCAGUUCAUGGCUCGUUUGGCAGCAACCCUGAGAUGCUUUACAGCCCUAGACCCUAAAAGGUCAAAAGGCCGUCUUAUUCUCAAUAUACAUUUUAUUACCCAAUCUACUCCUGACAUUAAAUAAAACGCCAAAAAUUAAAUUCCAGUCCUCAAACCCCACAACAGGACUUAAUUAACCUCGCCUUCAAGGUGUACAAUAAUAGAGUAGAGGCAGCCAAGUAGCAACAUAUUUCUCAGUUGCAAUUCCUUGCCUCAACUGUGAGACAAACCCCAGCCAAAUCUCCAGCACACAAGAGCUUCCAAACGCCUAAAGCGCAGUGGCCAGGCAUUCCUCCGGAAUCGCCUACCCCAGGAGCUUGCUAUAAGUGCCAGUAAUCUGGCCACCAGACAAAGGAAUGCCUGCAGUCCGGGAUUCCUCCUAAGCCAUGUCCCAACUGUGCGGGACCCCACUAGAAAUCGGACUGUUCAACUCACCUGGAAGCCACUCCCAUAGCCCCUGGAAUUCCAGCCCAAGGCUCUCUGACUGACUCCUUCCCAGAUCUUCUUGGCUUAGCAGCUGAAGACUGACACUGCCAGAUCGAUCGCCUCGGAAGCCUACAGGACCAUCACAGAGGCUCUAGGUAACUCUCACAGUGGAGGGUAAGUCCAUCCCCUUCUUAAUCAAUACAAAGGCUACCCACUCCACAUUACCUUCUUUUCAAGGGCCUGUUUCCCUUGCCUCCAUAACUGUUGUGGGUAUUGACAGCCAGGCUUCUAAACCUCUUAAAACUCCCCAACUCUGGUGCCAACUUAGACAAUACUCUUUUAAGCACUCCUUGUGAGUUAUCCCCACCUGCCCAGUUCCCUUAUUAAGCCGAGACACUUCAACUAAAUUAUCUGCUUCCCUGACUAUUCCUGGACUAUAGAUACAUCUCAUUUUCACCCACCUUAACCCACAAGUAGAAGAUACCUCUACUCCCUCCUUGGCGACCUAUCAUGCACCCCUUACCAUCUCAUUAAAACCUAAUCACCCUUACCCCGCUCAAUGCCAAUAUCCCAUCCCACAGCAUGCUUUGAAAGGAUUGAAGCCUGUUAUCACUCGCCUGCUACACCAUGGCCUUUUAAAGCCUAUAAGCUCUCCUUACAAUUCCCCCAUUUUACCUGUCCUAAAACCAGACAAGCCUUACAAGUUAGUUCAGGAUCUAUGCCUUAUCAACCAAAUUGUUUUGCCUAUCCACCCCAAGGUGCCAAACACAUAUACUCUCCUAUCCUCAAUUCCUCCUUCCACAACCCAUUAUUCUGUUCUGGAUCUCAAACUUGCUUUCUUUACUAUUCCUUUGCACCCUUCAUGCCAGCCACUCUUCACUUUCACUUGGACUGACCCUGACACUCAUCAGGCUCAGCAAAUUACCUCGGCUGUACUGCCGCAAAGCUUCACAGACAGCCCUCAAUACUUCAGUCAAGCCCAAAUUUCUUCCUUAUCUGUUACCUAUCUCAGCAUAAUUCUCAUAAAAACACACGUGCUCUCCCUGCCGAUCGUGUGUGACUCAUCUCUCAAGCCCCAACCCCUUCUACAAAACAACAACUCCUUUCCUUCCUGGGCAUGGUUGGAUACUUUCACCUUUAGAUAUCUGGUUUUGCCAUCCUAACAAAACCAUUAUAUAAACUCACAAAAUGAAACCUAGCUGACCCCAUAGAUCCUAAAUCCUUUCCCUACUCCUCUUUCUGUUCCUUGAAGACAGCUUUAAAGACUGCCCCCACCCUAGUCGCUUCCCUGACCGGGAAGCGAGGUAAUUGACGGACAGUCGAGGCAGCCUCUUAGGCAGCUUAGGCCUGCCCUGUGGAGCAUCCCUGCGGGGGACUCCGGCCAGCUUGAGCGACGCGGAUCCUGAGAGCUGUCCCGGGUAGGCAACUGACCCGGUGGAAUGCCUCGUCAGAGCAGUGUGUGGUAGGCAACCGUGGAAGAUCAACACAGCGGCUGAACAUCGGGAAGGAACAGGCACUUGGAGUCCGGACAUUUGAAACUUGAAUUCAAGCCUGUCCUCGGAAUGCUACAAGGUACAGCCCAUUUGUGGCGGGAAGUCAGGGACCCCAAACGGAGGGACCAGCUGAAGCCAUGGCAGAAGAACGUGGAUUGUGAAGAUUUUAUGGAUAUUUAUUAGUUCCCCAAAUUAAUGCUUUUGUAAUUUCUUGUGCCUGUCUUUACUGCAAUCUCUAAACAUAAAUUGUAAAGAUUUCAUGGACGCUUAUCACUUCCCCAAUCAAUAUCCUUGUGAUUUCCUAUGCCUGUCUUUGCUUUAAUCUCUUAAUCCUGUCAGCCGAGAAGGAUGUAUAUCAUCUCAGGACCCUGUAAUAAUUGCGUUAACUACACAAAUUGUACAGCAUGUGUGUUUGAGCAAUAUGAAAUGUGGGCAUCCUGAAAAAAGAACAGGAUAACAGCAAUUUUUCAGGGAAUAAGAGAGAUAACCUUAAACUCUGACCGCCGGUGAGCCGGGCAGAACAGAGCCAUAUUUCUCUUCUUUCAAAAGCAAAUGGGAGAAAUACCGCUGAAUUCUUUUUCUCAGCAUGGGAUACCCCUGAGAAAGAGAAUGCGCACCUAGGGGUAGGUCUCUGAACUGGCCCCCCCGGGGCGUACCUGUCUCUUAUGGUUGAGAUUGCAGAGGUGAAAUAAACUCCAGUCUCCAUAGCGCUCCCAGGCUUAUUAGGAACAGGAAAUUGCCGCCUAAUAAACUUUGGUCAGACCGGUUGAUCUCAAAACCCUGUCUCCUUACAAGAUGUUAUCAAUGACAAUGGUGCCAAAACUUCAUUAGCAAUUUUAAUUUCACUUCGGUCCUCUGGCCCUGUGAUCUCGCCCUGUCUCCACUUGCCUUGUGAUAUUCUAUUACCCUGUUAAGUACUUAAUGUCUGUCACCCACACCUAUUCGUAUACUCCCUCCCCUUUUGAAUCUCCCUAAUAAAAACUUGCUGGUUUUUGUGGCUUGUGGGGCAUCACGGAUCCUACCAAUGUGUGAUGUCUCCCCCAGACGCCCAGCUUUAAAAUUUC
Molecule: RNA transcript, 10945 nt
Organism: Pan troglodytes (chimpanzee)
Lineage: Eukaryota; Metazoa; Chordata; Mammalia; Primates; Hominidae
Exons: 6
Source: RefSeq, a predicted model, not a curated record